GCACUAACAGCCUGAGAGAAAAGGACACUGCAUAUCACAGAGAGAUGCAUAGAUGUUACACUCAGAAAGAGAGUGAACAACUAGAAGAUGUGGAAGGCAAGCUUUUUAGUAUUAAGAGGAACCAGUUUGGCUCUGGAGUCAAGAAUUCUCAAAACAGCUUUCUGAACCUGAAUCGCACGCAGUAAAGCUGGUGUUCUCCUGAAGCCAACAUUUAUGGUAUCACCUUGCUGAUCCAGGCAAAAUGGCAAAAGUGUAGUGAACAUAAAGCCAGGGGCUGAGAUUGUGGAUGUCCUCUGUACCAAGUUUCUUAUUAUGAAAAUUCCAAGGGCCAAUUUUGAAACAAACCAGGCAGAGACCCAGAUGCAGAAUCCUGCAGGCUGAGGGAUGUUAGGAAGAGUUAGCCCACCACUGCUGCGCUGAAACCAGGAUGACGCAAACUGGGCCUCAGGCCAGGUGUAUUCCUUGGAGUAUAACUGAAGGUUUACUUGGUAAUUCUAUGUUUAACUUUUUUUGGAACUUCUGGACUAUCUUCCAAAGCAACAGUACCAUUGUACAUUUUCACCAGCCACGUAUGACAGUCACACUCUCUCCACAUUCUUGCCAAAACUUGUUAUCAUUUUUCAAAUAAAAGACAGCCUAGUGUGUAUCUGAAA
Molecule: long non-coding RNA, 653 nt
Filed under: Homo sapiens (human)
Lineage: Eukaryota; Metazoa; Chordata; Mammalia; Primates; Hominidae
Description: long intergenic non-protein coding RNA 1360
Source: RNAcentral